AUGUGCAAAUGAAUCAUCCUAAUAAUCGUGGUUCCAGAUCAGAUUCAAAGCCCUUGGACCAGAUUCAGGAGGAGGCAGAUAAUUCUGCCUCAAGACAACGUAUGUCUGGUGGUCCUUCUGACUCUACUGUGUAUGAUUCCAAAUAUCCCCCGCUCCUCAGACUGGCGCGCCACCAGAGAUAAAUGGAAAGAAGAGGCCAAGAGGUCCAGCCUCAAAAGAAUGUCCUCAGACCAACUCACACAACUGAGAGACAGAAAUGAAACGGGUUCCUUCAGUGGGUUGAACAAGGUGAUAGUUGAUGAUGAGGAUAGGGGCUCAUUCAAAGAUAGUGACAAAGGAUCAUAUAGGGACUCAACCAGUUCCUUAGCUUCUGGGAAAGGUUCACAUAGGGGUAGUGAUAGGGGUUCCUGCAAGGAAGGAGAUAGGAAUUCAUACAGGAACAGUGAUAGAAACUCUUUCAAGGAUGAGGAUAAGGGAUCAUAUAAAGAUGAUGAUUCCUACUUGGAAGGCAGGAGCUCCCAUCCAGCUGCUGAGAGACCUGACAGACCAAGGGCAUCCUCUGUUGAUGAAAAUCCUGCAAACGCUGUUCUCCAUUCUCAGUCACUGUCUGGUGAGUCUGGACCGAAGGUUGAGGAUCUUAAGAAACAGCAACAACAAGCUGUGCGGACAUUUAUGGAGAUGAAAACUGGGAAAAAGAAAGGUUCUUCCGGUAGUUUUGGUUCAGAGGACACACAGGGUGCUGACUCAAGUGGGUCGAACAUGUACGAGUACAUUCCAGGAACAUCACCCACUGAAUCUGUCACCGAUCUCAUCAACAAAGCUUCAGAGAAUCUGAAUGCUUCGAAGGCCCAUCGAGCUGACAGUAUUAAGCGGUCGUCGUCUCGCAGCAGUAGUGACUACAUCGACAUGGCGAGACAGCAGCGCAAGGAGACGGAGUGGAGCAGACUCCGUUCACGGGGAUCCUUCAACUACAGCCCUGACAUGAACCGCUCCAACCGCAGCUCCAUGUGUUCGGACCACCAGUACGAGGAUAUCAGUGUGUUCUCACCGUCAACACCACGGAACUCCUACCCAGGGAGUAUACGUGAAAAUGAAGAGUUUCCACCUAAGGAUGCUGUAAGGGAGAAGAGAGAUCCAGGGUUGACCCAAAGUGCUAGCAUGGACUCCGGACUCACUGUGUCACCAACAUAUCAGAAUCUGUUCUCCACCCGGCGACCACCUCCUCCCCCGCCGCCACGGUCACCGAGUCCAGUCGAGCAGCCACCUGCCUUGCCACCUAGAAACUACAGACGGCACUCCGAGGGCCGCGUGCUUAGUAAACGAUCAGCAACCGCGGAUCAAGACCUCUCGCAGAAAGAGGAUGAAAACAUCGACAGAUCAAAGAGGGAUUUUGGUGACUUGAAACGACAGUUUGAAAAUUCUCCAAGAGAAGAUGCUUACAUCGAGAAACUGCGAAUGGAAUCAAGACGAAGGAUGUCAGCUCAGCCAAUGUCUAUUCAGUACACAAAACCAACAAUCAACUACCCAACAACAAUAAAACGAGAUCCCUUGCUGGCUCAGGAAGCAACAUCACCAUUGAAGGAACAUUCAGCGGUGGACAUCAGAAACUUGGUUGAGGAGAGCAACAAGGAAAACUCAGCUCCAGCCCAGCAGGCCACAGUGCCAUCAUCCAAGAAUUCAAGGGAGAGAACUCUGUCAGACAUACCUCCACCAUCACCACCGAAAAUUACAGAAUCUGAGAUCACUUCUGAUAGUGAAGAGUUACCUCCCCCUCCUCCAGAUCUUCUGAGCAAAGAAGAGGAAGAAGAAAUGCAUGAUGGAUAUGCAGACGACUCCUAUAUGUCGGCUGCCGUCAGGCGCUCACGGCGCAACUCUGGAACUGGGAACUACAAGAGGUCGGCUUCUGCAGCAGCGCUGCGUCCAGAUGAAGAUGACGCCAGUAACGACACUGAUGCCAACAGCGUGUUCAGUGACAAGAAGCUGGGACAUCAGGCAUGGAACAGUGAGUCUGCUUUAUCAAGGCAUUCCAUUGGUGCUUCAAUUGGACACAAUGAGAUGCCAAACCUUCCUGGAAAUAUCCCAGCUUUCAAAGCUGAUGUGGAACAUGUGAAAAAUGUGUCCGUAGGAACAGUGCAACCUCUGCAACCCAAACCGCUUCUUUCUCCCUCAACGGAAACUGCCCCCUUAUUUUAUCCAUCCUCCUCAACAAGUGCACCCAAACCAGCUGCCCGACCUCCCCAAACCUUGUCCAUGACAGCUUCCUCAUCAAGUUCCCGCUCAGCCCAACUCCACUCUCCAUCAUCAGGUCAACCUCAACAGACUCUCUCAAUGACCUCUUCUUCUUCCGUAAGUUCUAGAUCUGCACAGCUCAACUCACCAUCAGGUCCACCUCAACAAACUCUCUCAAUGAGCUCUUCCUCCAGUUCUCGGUCUGUCCAACUCAACUCACCAUCAUCAGGUCCACCUCAACAAACUCUGUCAAUGAGCUCUUCCUCAAGUUCCCGGUCUGCCCAGCUCAACUCUCCUUCAUCAGCUUCAGUGAAGCCCCUGGUCCAACCACAGACAUCAGCUGGAAGUGCAAGACAUGCAUUGCAUCCUGCACCCAGUAAUUCUGUUGGAGGGACUUUCAUAACACCUGUGGUUAAAUCUGUGCAAUCACCUUCUUCAGGCCCAGCUCACCCCCAUGGUUCAGUGCAGUCACCUUCCGGUGUGUCUAGUUUAUUCUCUCCCCGUCCUUUCGUUUCGCAUCAUUCCCGGGAGGGAGAAGGAGGGGAAGGCAAAAGGUUUGGUACACCCAAUUCAGUGAGAGACAGAAUCUCUAAAAUAGAACAUGGAGGCAAUAAGAAUGUGGGGUCACCCAGGUUAGAACAAGGUGGUAGAGUGGGGUCUCCAAAACACACAGCAUCACCAAAACCUGCAGACAGUUCAUGGAAGACUAACCCAGAUCCUAUCCGGACAUCAUCACCCAAAACUGUCGGUGGUCACUUGAAAGCUGAGAGCUCCUGGGAGACAAUUGAGAACCUCAGUCAAAGCUCUGCUCAGAAAGCAGCUCACAGUCAGAACAGUCAAAACAACACACAGAAAUCUCAGCGUAUACUUGAAUCCUGGCGGGAUGACCCCUGCUCUCGCUACCCACGACACGAGUCUUUCAGUUCGUCUUCAUCCAACUCAACUGUCUCUAGCUCCGAAAGGAGAUCCAAUAAUCAUGACAAUCUUCCUCCCAAUGUGUCCGACAGGAGACCCAACAUUCAGGACAAUCCUGCUAACAGUGCUACCUCCCCAGUCCAUCCUAGAUACAGACAUGCGUCCCCAGCAGAACAAAGUGCUGUAGAUAAGCGGAGUCCUCACGCUCCCGGUCAGGUGAAUCAGAGUGCAUAUAACCAAAGAGAACCAAGACAUUUCCAGAGUAGUGCUCAGAGAACUCCUGAUGGUGCUCCUCAAGGACAGGACCAAUCCAGAAUGUUGUCAGGCGAAUCUCAGGCCUUGUCACCCAGGUAUCGGGAAAAACGAUCGAGAGAUUGCCAAACACGUGACCAAGACUCAAAUGGUGUGCAUCGGGACGGUGAAACAUAUAGUCCCCGAACAUAUCAUCAGCCACAUCCAGAUAUGCAUAAAGGUGUUAGUGAAUCUCCGCGAGGACAAGGUGCUUCUAGUGAUGUUAAUAACAUGAGAAGGAACACUGAGAGGUCAGACUCUCCUCGGACUCAGGAUAAUAAGAAAUCAGCACCCAGUUCUCAGGUGGAGAAGGAAAAUCCCCAACCUGUUGAUCCUGAUUCCAUGGCAGUUCCUGUUCAUCAUGGUCGUCAGCGUUCACAAGAAGAGAUUGAGUGUGAUGAGCAGGCCAAACAAUUAGCAAUGGAACUGGAAGGUUCAGACAAGAAAUUAUCGGAGGUUCUUACUCAGGAUCACAAGAGGAUGAAAUACAUGGAUGGCAUGUUCACUGAUCCUGUUGACAUCAACAGGAGGCCCUCUUGUGGCAAAACGCAGCUCAAGGAAGUCAACACACCUGAAGACACCAACAAACCUGCUGAUACUGACAAAAAAAGGUGCCCUACCUGCGUCUUACUUCAAGGGAUCUUCCAAGGCUCUGGUGGAGAUGGAGCUGCGACGACAGAAUGAAGAGGUGAACAAGGACAUCAUCAAAGACCUUCAGGACAAUGACAGCCUCAGGAAACAAAAGGAGGAGCUGAUGGAGAAGUUGUAUGCCAAGCUGAAGGUGCUGAAGGAGGAGAAACUGUCACUGCAGCAGGAGAUCGAGGAGAAUGAGGAUCUGGGCAAGAAG
Molecule: unclassified non-coding RNA, 4282 nt
Filed under: Haliotis rubra (blacklip abalone)
Lineage: Eukaryota; Metazoa; Mollusca; Gastropoda; Lepetellida; Haliotidae
Description: protein Shroom2-like, transcript variant X3
Source: RNAcentral